Molecule: ribosomal RNA, 433 nt
Filed under: uncultured bacterium
Lineage: Bacteria
Description: partial 16S ribosomal RNA
Rfam family: Bacterial small subunit ribosomal RNA
Source: RNAcentral
AACGAACGCUGGCGGCAUGCCUAACACAUGCAAGUCGAACGAGACCUUCGGGUCUAGUGGCGCACGGGUGCGUAACGCGUGGGAACCUGCCUUUAGGUUCGGAAUAACUCCCCGAAAGGGGUGCUAAUACCGGAUAAUGUCUUCGGACCAAAGAUUUAUCGCCUUUGGAUGGGCCCGCGUUGGAUUAGCUAGUUGGUAGGGUAAAAGCCUACCAAGGCGACGAUCCAUAGCUGGUCUGAGAGGAUGAUCAGCCACACUGGGACUGAGACACGGCCCAGACUCCUACGGGAGGCAGCAGUGGGGAAUAUUGGACAAUGGGCGAAAGCCUGAUCCAGCAAUGCCGCGUGAGUGAUGAAGGCCUUAGGGUUGUAAAGCUCUUUUACCCGGGAUGAUAAUGACAGUACCGGGAGAAAAAGCUCCGGCUAACUCCGUG